AAAUGUUUAGCAUAAUGCCUGGGAAAUAUAGUAGGCACUUAAUGUAUGCUUAUAACUCUGUUUCCUCCUCCCCUAUACCUCUGUCUGAGGUGUUAGCACAUUCCCUGAUAGAUUCUAAAGUACAAAUCAUAAAUCCACGAAUCCCAGUUUCUAAAAUAUCCUCACAAAUUGGCCUGACCGCAUCAAGAUCACUUUUGUUCUUUUAUAUGUUCCCUUUCAAAUGAUAAUUCACAUUUCUUGAGCCACCUCCUCAAAUGACUUACACUUUAAAGAAAUGAUUCCAUUUCUACUUAAACUGUUCUAGCUUUUACCAUCUUCUCUGUAUUCAAUUAACUAUAUCUCUUCUAACAAAUUAAAUAUAUUUUUAUUCUGCUGCAUCAACCUAGUAAACCUGUAACCAUUAUUGAUGUAAUGUGACUGGAGGGUCCGCUGACCUUGGGGCUAAUGUUCUAAUGAUUCCUGGGUCUUCUGGCUUUGGAAUCUGCCUCUGGACACUGAGCACUGUCCAGUCUACCUGAAGACCACUUUUUAUUCAUCUGGAGAUUACUUCCUAAGCUUACCCUUGGGUCACACAAUUAACAUAUCUGUAAUUGAAAGCUGUAUAGGGGUAUCACCUUGGUACCAUCUCUUUACUGGAUUCUAUUUAGAAUUCAUUCUGCUCAGUAAUGGCAUCACAUUGCUUUUAAUGAAAUCUUUGUCCCUUGACUAGAUGGGUUCAAGCCUGCAAAUUCUUUUGAGAUCCCUCAGAUACUGGUCUGGGACUUUUGGCGUCCCCCUUCUCAACCUCAACCUUAUAACAUAAUUCUCAUGACAAAAGUGUAGCUCUCACCAGUCACCAAAGACCUCCCCCCCAAAAAAGUCUUCCAUUUUAUGUAUUUGUUAUACAUUUAUAGUGGUGAGCCUAAUCUCCAGAGGACAGAUGAAUAUACUGUGUUCUAAGGGUAAUCUUGAAGAAUUGAAAGUAAUUUCUGCAUUCACAAAGCCCCAUCUGGCAUGUUAUACCACUGACUAGUAGGCAGCAGGACCACCAGUUUUCUUUUAAAAAGGGACAUUUUUAGUUAUAUGUUGUAAAAAAAACAGUUGGUACAAAAUGCAUCCCCACAAAGGGGAUGUCAAUGGCAAGGUUCUUGGGGAGAGUGUUCUCAAGCUUAGAACAUGUACAAAUGUGAUUCAGACUUUCACUUCUGUGCUGAGAAGUCCUCAAGUUCUUCGUGGGUGGGCAAUGCUCUCUGUUCUGUGUGACUCAUUGAAUUUUGAGGCUGUCUAAUGGAUCCUCAGCUCCAGAUGCAGAUUAUGCUUUCAGCCCAAACUUUCUAGGGGCACAGAUUGGAAAUCUGUAUCCUCUAAUCUAUUAAAGUUCACUUGGUAAUCUUAGGCAAAACAUUAACCCUCCCUGAAUCUCAAUUUUAUUAGCUGUAAAAUGAAAGGACUGAACUCUUAGACCUCUAUAUCUGUUUUUCAUUUCAUGGCUCCAGUUACCUGAAAUUACUCCUCUUUUACCUGAAAUCCACUCAGUCGUGGACUCCAACUUCUGGCUUUCUAAAAGUCCCAGCUAAAAUCCUACCUUCUAGAGGAAACCUUUCCCAAUUCAUCUCAAUUGAUACAUUUUCCCUCAUUUUAAUUAUUUCCUAUUUAUUUUGCAUAAAAUGUAUUUGUACAUAAGUGUUGGCUUAUUGUCUCCCCAUUAAAUUGUGAGAACCUCAAGAGCAGGGGGUUGCCUUUUGCCUUUCUUUUUAUCCCCAGGGUUUGGCACUGUGGCCUGGCUCAGUACUUAAUAAAUGUUAUUAUUGACUGACUGAUUGAAACAAAGCUUCCCAUAUGCAAGUCUGUUAUUGAAAAACAGAAUUCAGGAUUUAAAUCACUGGGAGUUAUUCUUCUCUUCUAACUUAUGAAUAGCUAGAUAAUUUGUUUGGCACUUAGAAUUGACUUGUGUUUUUUGUGAAUUACUUUUGCACAGAUCCUCAAAGACAAACUACUGUCAAAAAAUGAUGACUCCGGGAAAGAAGAUAAAAAGAUGAGGAAACUAAGGCAAAUAAGGUUAAGUGAUCCUUAACACAAGCUAGUAAGAGUCCGUGGCUGAACUCAUGCAGAUAAGUUUUCCUGAUUCCCACCCCGGGACUCUGUGGGUUGUGUGGCCCAACUGCCUAAGACAGCACUUAGGAACUCAUCUAUCCCGUUGGACCUUACAGAUGAAGGAAGUAAAUGGUUUUCCGAUAUAACAAUAUGUGCUCUACGUUCCAGAAAGUGGUCAUACAGUUUUCAGUAAAGGAUGUGAUCAUUUGGACUGAUCCUGAGUGAAGUGAGCAGAACCAGGAGAACAUUGGACUCUGUAAUAAGAAGAUUAUGUGAUGAUCAACUGAGAUCGGCUUGUCUCUUCUCAGCAGCACAUUGAUCCAAGGCAACUCCAAUAGACUUGGUAUGGAAAAUGUCACCUGUAUUUGGAGAAAGAACUAUAGAGACUAAUUACGAAUAGAAGCAAAUUAUUUUCA
This is a long non-coding RNA of Sarcophilus harrisii (Tasmanian devil), 2489 nucleotides long. RefSeq lists it as uncharacterized. NCBI's taxonomy places the organism in Eukaryota, Metazoa, Chordata, Mammalia, Dasyuromorphia, Dasyuridae. The record is from RefSeq and is a predicted model, not a curated record. The transcript is spliced from 3 exons.